Molecule: ribosomal RNA, 253 nt
Filed under: uncultured bacterium
Lineage: Bacteria
Description: partial 16S ribosomal RNA
Rfam family: Bacterial small subunit ribosomal RNA
Source: RNAcentral
UACGUAGGAUGCAAGCGUUAUCCGGAAUUAUUGGGCGUAAAGAGUGUGUAGGUGGUUUGUUAAGUUAAAUGUUAAAUCUUCAGGCUCAACUUGGAGGCCGCAUUUAAUACUGGCAGACUCGAGGUAUGGAGAGGUAAGCGGAAUUAGUAGUGUAGCGGUGAAAUGCGUAGAUAUUACUAAGAACACCAAUGGCGAAGGCAGCUUACUGGCCAUAUUCUGACGCUGAGACACGAAAGCGUGGGGAGCGAACAGG